Molecule: ribosomal RNA, 500 nt
Filed under: uncultured bacterium
Lineage: Bacteria
Description: partial 16S ribosomal RNA
Rfam family: Bacterial small subunit ribosomal RNA
Source: RNAcentral
AUUGAACGCUGGCGGCAUGCCUUACACAUGCAAGUCGAACGGUAACGCGGGGGCAACCCUGGCGACGAGUGGCGAACGGGUGAGUAAUACAUCGGAACGUACCUGGUAGUGGGGGAUAGCCCGGCGAAAGCCGGAUUAAUACCGCAUACGCACCACGGUGGAAAGCGGGGGACCGCAAGGCCUAGCGCUAUCAGAGCGGCCGAUGGCAGAUUAGCUAGUUGGGGGGGUAAAAGCCUACCUCGGCGACGAUCUGUAGCUGGUCUGAGAGGACGACCAGCUACACUGGGACUGAGACACGGCCCAGAAUGCUACGGGAGGCAGCAGUGGGGAAUUUUGGACAAUGGGGGAAACCCUGAUCCAGCGAGGCCGCGUGUAUGAAGAAGGCCUUCGAGUUGUAAAGCACUUUUGUUCGGGAAGAAAUCUGUCGGGCUAAUACCCUGGCGGGAUGACGGUACCGGAAGAAUAAGCACCGGCUAACUACGUGCCAGCAGCCGCAGUAA